This 253-nucleotide ribosomal RNA is filed under the name uncultured bacterium. RNAcentral describes it as "partial 16S ribosomal RNA". It matches the Rfam family "Bacterial small subunit ribosomal RNA", at positions 524 to 776 of the family's 1533-position model. The record is from RNAcentral.
UACGUAGGGGGCAAGCGUUGUCCGGAUUUAUUGGGCGUAAAGAGCGUGUAGGCGGCUAGAUAGGUCCGUUGUGAAAACUCGAGGCUCAACCUCGAGACGUCGAUGGAAACCAUCUGGCUAGAGUCCGGAAGAGGAGAGUGGAAUUCCUGGUGUAGCGGUGAAGUGCGCAGAUAUCAGGAAGAACACCCGUGGCGAAGGCGGCUCUCUGGUACGUGACUGACGCUGAGACGCGAAAGCGUGGGGAGCAAACAGG